RNAcentral lists this ribosomal RNA (295 nucleotides) under uncultured microorganism. RNAcentral describes it as "partial 16S ribosomal RNA". It matches the Rfam family "Bacterial small subunit ribosomal RNA", at positions 505 to 795 of the family's 1533-position model. The record is from RNAcentral.
GUGCCAGCAGCCGCGGUAAUACGGAGGGUGCAAGCGUUAAUCGGAAUUACUGGGCGUAAAGCGCACGCAGGCGGUCUGUCAAGUCGGAUGUGAAAUCCCCGGGCUCAACCUGGGAAACUGCAUUCGAAACUGGCAGGCUAGAGUCUUGUAGAGGGGGGUAGAAUUCCAGGUGUAGCGGUGAAAUGCGUAGAGAUCUGGAGGAAUACCGGUGGGGAAGGGGGCCCCCCUGGACAAAGACUGACGCUCAGGUGCGAAAGCGUGGGGAGACAAACAGGAUUAGAUACCCUGGUUAGUC